CUCGCCUAACUAGCAUUUUCACCUGAUCAGGAAGACACCUCUAGAGAUAUACUCAUCGAGUGAAACUUGACUUCCUCCAUGACCAAUCCCCUUUGAGUUUUUUGGAUUUUAAUUAAAAUAAUUUUACUUAGUAAGAGGAUUGACUCAUUGAAUAACCAAGUACCGAAAGUUAUUAACAAAUUAAUUCGCUUAAUCACACUCACUCAUUGACCAAGCCA
This 218-nucleotide long non-coding RNA is filed under the name Vigna radiata. RNAcentral's name for it is "long non-coding RNA (VRAD_LNC017984)". The record is from RNAcentral. Lineage: Eukaryota; Viridiplantae; Streptophyta; Magnoliopsida; Fabales; Fabaceae.